CGCGCAGGCGGUUUGGAAAGUCAGAUGUGAAAGCCCGGGGCUCAACCCCGGAAGUGCAUCUGAAACUGCCAAACUUGAGUAUGGGAGAGGGAAGUGGAAUUCCUGGUGUAGCGGUGAAAUGCGUAGAUAUCAGGAGGAACACCGGUGGCGAAGGCGACUUCCUGGACCAAUACUGACGCUGAGGCGCGAAGGCGUGGGGAGCAAACA
This 207-nucleotide ribosomal RNA is filed under the name uncultured bacterium. RNAcentral's name for it is "partial 16S ribosomal RNA". It matches the Rfam family "Bacterial small subunit ribosomal RNA", at positions 568 to 774 of the family's 1533-position model. The record is from RNAcentral.